Molecule: non-coding RNA, 82 nt
Organism: Ferriphaselus amnicola
Lineage: Bacteria; Pseudomonadati; Pseudomonadota; Betaproteobacteria; Nitrosomonadales; Gallionellaceae
Source: Rfam
GCGAAAGUGGCGGAAUUGGUAGACGCACUGGAUUUAGGUUCCAGCGCCGCAAGGCGUGCAGGUUCGAUUCCUGUCUUUCGCA